GAUGAACGCUAGCGGGAGGCUUAACACAUGCAAGUCGAGGGGCAGCAUAGGGUAGCAAUACUCUGAUGGCGACCGGCAAACGGGUGAGUAACGCGUAUGCAACCUUCCCUGUACAGGGGGAUAACCCGGAGAAAUUCGGACUAAUACCCCAUGAUGAUAUUAUGGGGCAUCCUUUAAUAUUUAAAGCUCUGGCGGUACAGGAUGGGCAUGCGCGACAUUAGCUAGUUGGUAAGGUAACGGCUUACCAAGGCGACGAUGUUUAGGGGACCUGAGAGGGUUGUCCCCCACACUGGUACUGAGACACGGACCAGACUCCUACGGGAGGCAGCAGUGAGGAAUAUUGGUCAAUGGGCGCAAGCCUGAACCAGCCAUCCCGCGUGCAGGAAGACGGCCCUAUGGGUUGUAAACUGCUUUUCCAGGGGGAGAAUUUUUCUGUCGUGACAGGAAUUGACGGUACCCUGGGAAUAAGCAUCGGCUAACUCCGUGCCAGCAGCCGCGGUAAAACGUCUA
This 510-nucleotide ribosomal RNA is filed under the name uncultured bacterium. RNAcentral describes it as "bacterial SSU rRNA". It matches the Rfam family "Bacterial small subunit ribosomal RNA", at positions 28 to 531 of the family's 1533-position model. The record is from RNAcentral.